GAUGAACGCUGGCGGCGUGCUUAACACAUGCAAGUCGAACGAAGCAUUUAAGACAGAUUACUUCGGUUUGAAGUCUUUUAUGACUGAGUGGCGGACGGGUGAGUAACGCGUGGGUAACCUGCCUCAUACAGGGGGAUAGCAGCUGGAAACGGCUGGUAAUACCGCAUAAGCGCACAGUACCACAUGGUACAGUGUGAAAAACUCCGGUGGUAUGGGAUGGACCCGCGUCUGAUUAGCUUGUUGGCGGGGUAACGGCCCACCAAGGCGACGAUCAGUAGCCGACCUGAGAGGGUGACCGGCCACAUUGGGACUGAGACACGGCCCAGACUCCUACGGGAGGCAGCAGUGGGGAAUAUUGCACAAUGGAGGAAACUCUGAUGCAGCGACGCCGCGUGAGUGAAGAAGUAGUUCGCUAUGUAAAGCUCUAUCAGCAGGGAAGAUAGUGACGGUACCUGACUAAGAAGCACCGGCUAAAUACGUG
RNAcentral lists this ribosomal RNA (481 nucleotides) under uncultured bacterium. Its description in RNAcentral is "partial 16S ribosomal RNA". It matches the Rfam family "Bacterial small subunit ribosomal RNA", at positions 28 to 507 of the family's 1533-position model. The record is from RNAcentral.